RNAcentral lists this ribosomal RNA (432 nucleotides) under uncultured bacterium. RNAcentral's name for it is "partial 16S ribosomal RNA". It matches the Rfam family "Bacterial small subunit ribosomal RNA", at positions 29 to 507 of the family's 1533-position model. The record is from RNAcentral.
ACGAACGCUGGCGGCAGGCUUAACACAUGCAAGUCGAGCGCAUCCUUCGGGGUGAGCGGCGGACGGGUGAGUAACGCGUGGGAACGUGCCCUCUUCUACGGAAUAGCCUCGGGAAACUGAGAGUAAUGCCGUAUACGCCCGCAAGGGGAAAGAUUUAUCGGAGGAGGAUCGGCCCGCGUUGGAUUAGGUAGUUGGUGGGGUAACGGCCUACCAAGCCGACGAUCCAUAGCUGGUUUGAGAGGAUGAUCAGCCACACUGGGACUGAGACACGGCCCAGACUCCUACGGGAGGCAGCAGUGGGGAAUCUUGGACAAUGGGGGCAACCCUGAUCCAGCCAUGCCGCGUGAUCGAUGAAGGCCUUAGAGUUGUAAAGAUCUUUCAGCUGGGAAGAUAAUGACGGUACCAGCAGAAGAAGCCCCGGCUAACUCCGUG